GACGAACGCUGGCGGCGUGCCUAAUACAUGCAAGUCGAGCGGACUUUCAAGAAGCUUGCUUUUUGAAAGUUAGCGGCGGACGGGUGAGUAACACGUGGGCAACCUGCCUGUAAGACGGGGAUAACUCCGGGAAACCGGGGCUAAUACCGGAUAAUAUCUUUCUUCGCAUGAAGGAAGGUUGAAAGGCGGCGCAAGCUGCCGCUUGCAGAUGGGCCCGCGGCGCAUUAGCUAGUUGGUGAGGUAACGGCUCACCAAGGCGACGAUGCGUAGCCGACCUGAGAGGGGGAUCGGCAUCACUGGGACGGGGACACGGCCCAGACACCUACGGGAGGCAGCAGUAGGGAAUCUUCCGCAAUGGACGAAAGUCUGACGGAGCAACGCCGCGUGAGCGAAGAAGGGCUUCGGAUCGUAAAGCUCUGUUGUCAGGGAAGAACAAGUACCGUUCGAAUAGGGCGGUACCUUGACGGUACCUGACCAGAAAGCCACGGCUAACUACGUGCCAGCAGCCGCGGUAA
Molecule: ribosomal RNA, 515 nt
Filed under: uncultured bacterium
Lineage: Bacteria
Description: partial 16S ribosomal RNA
Rfam family: Bacterial small subunit ribosomal RNA
Source: RNAcentral